RNAcentral lists this long non-coding RNA (1193 nucleotides) under Homo sapiens (human). RNAcentral's name for it is "HSALNT0026973". Lineage: Eukaryota; Metazoa; Chordata; Mammalia; Primates; Hominidae. The record is from RNAcentral.
CUAGGAAUGGUGAAGUCAAAGAAGCUGCUCUUUUCACAUUACUCAGAAACACGCACUACCCCCAAUCACAGAUGCCAGCCAUGCACAGGGGCCCGUUCUGAAGGCAGGGGCAGGUGCACCAGCCCAGGAGCCCAGAGAAACUACAGCCAGCGCUGCCUCGGCUUAGGGAACCUGCGGCCGGCUUCCUGGGUACAGCCAUCGUAGGAAAGAGGGCCUUUCCUCAGCCAGCAUCCCUGCCCCUUCCUCCACCACCUUCCCUCUGUGGGACUGCUCCCAGGCAGACCUGGGGCCUCAGCCAGCAUGGGCAGGAACUCCCAGAGGACACGGGAAGGACUCCUGAGGACCCGCUGGGGUCUCCCGGGCCUAGGCUUCCCUCGGAACUGCAUCUCGAAGGGCAGCUCAGCUCGCACUCCGCGCACCUACUGUGUGCUCUCUAAGCUGGACACCAGGAAAGCUCUGCGACUCUGCUGUGAACUCUGGGGUCAGUGAGACCCCGGGGUCAAAAGCUGGCUCUGCCGCUCACCAUGGCUGUGACCCUGAGAAAGUUGUCUAACUUCCCUGAGCUUCGGUUUCCUAAGCUGCAAAAUGGGAACAGCAAUCGUUGUCUGUCUUGCAGCCUUGUUACAAUGGCCGAAGGAAAGAGCAUGGCACGGAAUGGGUUCUCAGUUAGAGGCUACAGAAUACCCAGCUCCUCCUGCAGGUGAAGAGCACCAGCUCUGAGCCAAAUGACCUGAGCUCACACACGGGCUCUGCCAGACACUGGUUGCAUAACCUUGAACAAGUUUCCUCAUCUUUCUGUGCCUCGGUUUUCUCAUCUGUAGAAUGGGCAUAACAUGGUGCAGUGUUUCUACUUGGGAGGGAUAAAAAUGGUCUGGAAGUUGAUAGUGGUGACGGCUGCACAACCCUAUGAAUAUAAUUCACAUCGCCAGGUUCUGAUAUGAAUUAUAAAAUAUAAAUUAUAAAAAUGAUAAGCUUUAUAUAUUUUUCCACAAUUUUUAAAAAUAUGCCAAGAAGCAAUGGAUUGUACACUUUCAAUGGGUAAAUUGUAUAGUACGUUAAUUUCUCUCACUAUAACUGUUUUUAGAAAAUGUUAAGAAUGGAGAUAAUAAUAAUGUUACCUACCUCUAAGGGUCAUUAGAGGAGAAUGAAUGAGUUCACACAGUGCUUAGAAGAGCUUACAAUAGUGACCAGCA